Sinocyclocheilus rhinocerous is the source of this 252-nucleotide long non-coding RNA. RefSeq lists it as uncharacterized. Lineage: Eukaryota; Metazoa; Chordata; Actinopteri; Cypriniformes; Cyprinidae. The record is from RefSeq and is a predicted model, not a curated record. The transcript has 4 exons.
UUCCAGGAGGAAGUCGAGUUCCUCAGCCAGAUUUUUCCAAAUGGAGCAGCCUACUGUAUGGGACGUCUGAACUCAGACUGCUGGUAUCUGUUUACGCUGGAGCUGCCGGAGUUCUGGGAGAACAAGCAGGCAGACCAGACACUAGAAGUUCUGAUGAGUGACCUCGACCCGGCUGUGAUGGACCAGUUCUUCAUGAAAGACGGUGUUUCUGCUAAUGAUGUCACUCGUAUGAGUGGAAUUCGUGACCUGAUU